AUGGGGAACACGCACGAAGGGCACUCCGGGCAGGCAAACCGUCCCGUCGUCUUCAUUGGGAACGUCGACCACAAGCUGAAGCUGCGCUCCAAGAAGGGCCAACUGCCAUUUCGUCGAGGUAAAUGGAGAGGAAAUCGCCGACUCGGCCAUCAUCAUCAAGGAGCUGGCCCAGCGCUACGAGAAGGGACCUGGACGCCGCCCCUGACCCAGGAAGCAGCGAAACAUUGCUCCACCGCCAUGAUUUCCAUGCUGGAGAACCACCUGAUCUGGGGUGCUUGCUGUUCUGGCGCAGCAAAAACCCCGACCAAAUUGAUCAGGGCUACCAAGGUCAACCUUCAGCACGCCCUCGGAAGCCCGGCUGCCCAACGCUGGUGCUCAACUUCCUGUUCAAGUUCCAGUUCGGUCGCAAAGUAUUUGCAGGAGCCAAAAAGGUGAAGGCCCAAGGGUCUCGGGGCGUGCACAAACCCGAGGAAAUCGAAGAGUUCGGCAAGCAGGAUCUGAAGGUGCUGUCCGAGCUGUUGGCCGACAACCAUUCUUCUUCGGCGGAUGAACCGACCACGCUCGACUGCGUCGCAUUCUCCGUCCCUGGCCCAGGUCCACUACAUCUCCGACGAGGUCAAGUACGCCCUGAAGGAGUACAUGCAGGAGAACUGCCCGAACCUGGUGGGACACGUCUCGCGGAUCAAGGAGCGCUGCUUCCCCGACUGGGACGACAUCUGCACGAAGCUGGACCUGAACGCCCAUCUGCCCAAGCCAGAACCAGAGACCAAGGAGAACAAGGAAGGUGCCGACACCGAGAAGACCACCGAGCAGGACAAGAACGAAUCGGAGAAGGAACUCGAGAAGGACAACACCAGCGAGAAGACGGAGAAGAAGGAGGAGAAGCCGGAAAAGGUGGAAGAGAACAAAGAGAAGGAGGAAGCUGCCGCCAAAUAAGUUGCUCCGUAAUCGUAAAUCUGUGGAAGCAGCUUGCGCUUACGACUAUAUUAUUAUGAUUGUCGCAGAUUACUUUUUAUUUUAGUUUUCCCACUAUUGGCUAAUUCUAUUCCGUUUUUUUAUUAUUUUAAUUUGUGUCUUCGGUUUUCACACACACGCACUAGUUGACAAAUUGGUUAGAUUCGAUUUUUUUCUACCUGUAAGUGAAACGGAAAACGAAACGGGAAAGUUCUAUAGAUAGAAUGCAUUUUUCGUGCGAUUGUUAGUAGGUUUUCUCUAUCUACUAGAUUUGGUUUUCCUAGUCGCGUGUAUCGACGAAACGAUUAUAACGAGCAAAGUAAACGCGAGUAAAUUCUUGACUAUUGUUUACACACUUUUUUAAAUACUUGCGUUUGUUUAAAGAAGAAGGCAGGAGUGAGAAAAAAUCGGGCAAACAUCAACCGAAGAGAUCAGUGUAUAAUAAUUCAAACACGUGUGCAAUUUUGUACAAUUUCGCGUGGAAAAAUAUUUUGCUCUUUCCGACGACGAGAGGUAGAGAAGGAAACAUCCGGUGGUGAAGAGCGGAAAGUCAAAGAGAGGAAGGAAACAGCAGAAGAAGGUCGUAUGUAGUUUUGUUUAUUUUUUUCAUUUUAGUAGAAAAAUUACUAGCAGACGUAACAAAUUAGUGGAAUGAGAGAAGAACCCAAACGAGAAAGAGAAGGUCACGAGACAAUGUGUAAUGUUCACUGCUUAAGCUAUUCUUACGUUUAGAGUUUCAGUUUUACUUUAGUUUUUUAGUGUAAGGUAAUGUUCACGACGAUUGCUACGGAAAUACUCAAAAAAUCAUUCAACAGCUAUUUACAAGACGGUUUACCGUUGAUGGUCGGCGGACUGAAGCGUGCCAAUGGUUUCGCUUAGAGUGCGUCGAUUCACAUAAGAAUUGGAACAUCUGUUUUUGACACCACGAUGAAGUAAACUCUUUGCUUGUAGUAGUAAAACAACCUAAUGAAAAGGAAUGUAAUAAUAGUUUAUUAUUACUAUUAUAUAUUUUUAUAUAUUAUAUUUUCGUAUAUAUUUAUAGUAUUUUAUAUCAAUUUUAUGUAUAGUACAGUCUCUCUUUCUCUUUAUGUUAGUUUAAGGUUAAUGCAAAGAAAAAGAAGAAGAAGGAAUCUAUAUGGUCGUUUUCCAAAUUUCUGUUUUGUACAAAAUUUUGCGAAGUGAAGAAAUUUUCCCAUGUUUCUUCCCAGGACGUUUUUAUUCUUCAGAUUGAAGCUAAAGAGUAAAAACCAGGCGGCGGGAAAAUUUCCUUCGAAGGAAACAUUUCGUUUUUGGAUCAACACUAACCCACACACCCAUGCACGCGUGUCGGAACGUUCAGAACCGCAUCCAGAAGAACAGAGAGAAAAGUACACACACGAAAACGGUUGCCGGAAACGAUAAAUAUCUCAAAACAUUCUAAUCAAUAUGAGUUUUCUUUCAUAUUUUAAAUGAAAUCUAGUUUAGCGCGUUCGUUUGUCGAUCAGUUUAGUUUCUCUUCUGCUUACACUACGUACAACGUUCUUCAUCAUAUUCCUUCUCUUUCCCGUUCACACACACGAAUCGUACAAUAGUUUCCGCCACAUUCUGUCCCGUCACUCACACACACUCAGUUUGUUCGCCCUCGUUCCAAAGGCGGAAGUAAUUUAAUCAAACCGUAAAACAUUUCCCCCUAGCAUAAGUAAGUGGACUCCGCGCUGUUUUCCAAUAUCGAAGAGUAAAUUUAAAAUGAAAUUACAAUUACAACACACACACAGAGAACAUUCAUUCGCGCCACAUACACAGAUGCAGAAAAAGAAAAGUUGGAUUAUCUAGGAUAAAUACUCUGAUGGAUAAAUAAUAAAACAGUGAUAAUAAAAAAA
RNA transcript from Aedes aegypti (yellow fever mosquito), 2813 nucleotides. It is a transcript of the gene named failed axon connections, with no coding region annotated. Lineage: Eukaryota; Metazoa; Arthropoda; Insecta; Diptera; Culicidae. The transcript has 5 exons. The record is from RefSeq and is a predicted model, not a curated record.